AGUGAACGCUGGCGGUAGGCCUAACACAUGCAAGUCGAACGGCAGCACAGUAAGAUCUUGCUCUUACGGGUGGCGAGUGGCGGACGGGUGAGGAAUACAUCGGAAUCUACUUUUUCGUGGGGGAUAACGUAGGGAAACUUACGCUAAUAUCGCAUACGACCUACGGGUGAAAGCAGGGGAUCUUCGGACCUUGCGCGAUUGAAUGCGCCGAUGUCGGAUUAGCUAGUUGGCGGGGUAAAGGCCCACCAAGGCGACGAUCCGUAGCUGGUCUGAGAGGAUGAUCGGCCACACUGGAACUGAGACACGGUCCAGACUCCUACGGGAGGCAGCAGUGGGGAAUAUUGGACAAUGGGCGAAAGCCUGAUCCAGCCAUACCGCGUGGGUGAAGAAGGCCUUCGGGUUGUAAAGCCCUUUUGUUGGGAAAGAAAAGCAGCAGGUUAAUACCCCGCUGUUCUGACGGUACCCAAAGAAUAAGCACCGGCUAACUACGUG
Molecule: ribosomal RNA, 492 nt
Filed under: uncultured bacterium
Lineage: Bacteria
Description: partial 16S ribosomal RNA
Rfam family: Bacterial small subunit ribosomal RNA
Source: RNAcentral